GGAGAGGUGCCAGAGUGGUCGAUUGGGUCUGACUCGAAAUCAGAUGUACGCUUUUUGGCGUACCGUGGGUUCGAAUCCCACCCUCUCCG
RNAcentral lists this transfer RNA (89 nucleotides) under Pseudomonadota bacterium. RNAcentral describes it as "tRNA-Ser". It matches the Rfam family "tRNA". Rfam says of the family: Transfer RNA (tRNA) molecules are approximately 80 nucleotides in length. Their secondary structure includes four short double-helical elements and three loops (D, anti-codon, and T loops). Further hydrogen bonds mediate the characteristic L-shaped molecular structure. tRNAs have two regions of fundamental functional importance: the anti-codon, which is responsible for specific mRNA codon recognition, and the 3' end, to which the tRNAs corresponding amino acid is attached (by aminoacyl-tRNA synthetases). tRNAs cope with the degeneracy of the genetic code in two manners: having more than one tRNA (with a specific anti-codon) for a particular amino acid; and 'wobble' base-pairing, i.e. permitting non-standard base-pairing at the 3rd anti-codon position. RNAcentral also lists the same sequence under 3 other names. The record is from RNAcentral. Lineage: Bacteria; Pseudomonadati; Pseudomonadota.